RNAcentral lists this unclassified non-coding RNA (339 nucleotides) under soil metagenome. RNAcentral's name for it is "partial contains 5.8S ribosomal RNA, internal transcribed spacer 2, and large subunit ribosomal RNA". The stretch from base 1 to 120 matches the Rfam family "5.8S ribosomal RNA", at positions 35 to 154 of the family's 154-position model. The record is from RNAcentral.
GAUGAAGAACGUAGCGAAAUGCGAUAAGUAAUGCGAAUUGCAGAAUUCCAUGAGUCAUCGAAUCUUUGAACGCACAUUGCGCCCUCUGGUAUUCCGGAGGGCAUGCCUGUCUGAGCGUCAUUGUCAACCCUCAAGCUCAGCUUGCUGUUGGGUCCCCGUCGUUGCUUUAACGGCGGACCCGAAAGGUAAUGGCAGAGUCCGUGAGACCCUAGACGCAGCGAGCUUCUAGCACGCGUCUGGACGUUUUUCGGGCUCGGUCUUAACUAGAUGAUAACUUCCGAUUGACCUCAGAUCAGGUAGGGAUACCCGCUGAACUUAAGCAUAUCAAUAAGCGGAGGA